RNAcentral lists this small RNA (32 nucleotides) under Bombyx mori (domestic silkworm). RNAcentral's name for it is "ovarian small RNA-15055". The record is from RNAcentral. Lineage: Eukaryota; Metazoa; Arthropoda; Insecta; Lepidoptera; Bombycidae.
GAAAGAAGUAUCCAUCUUUCUGUCUAAGCUGA